UACAUGGGGUGCAAACGUUGCUCGGAAUUACUGGGCGUAAAGCGCACGUAGGCGGAUUCGUAAGUCAGGGGUGAAAUCCCCGGGCUUAACCUGGGAACUGCGCUUGUAACUGGCAAGCUAGAGUGUGGCAGAGGGGGGUGGAAUUCCACGUGUAGCAGUGAAAUGCGUAGAGAUGUGGAGGAACACCGAUGGCGAAGGCAGCCCCCUGGGCUAACACUGACGCUCAUGCACGAAAGCGUGGGGAGCAAACAGG
RNAcentral lists this ribosomal RNA (253 nucleotides) under uncultured bacterium. Its description in RNAcentral is "partial 16S ribosomal RNA". It matches the Rfam family "Bacterial small subunit ribosomal RNA", at positions 524 to 776 of the family's 1533-position model. The record is from RNAcentral.